This 440-nucleotide ribosomal RNA is filed under the name uncultured bacterium. RNAcentral's name for it is "partial 16S ribosomal RNA". It matches the Rfam family "Bacterial small subunit ribosomal RNA", at positions 338 to 795 of the family's 1533-position model. The record is from RNAcentral.
CCUACGGGUGGCAGCAGUGGGGAAUAUUGCACAAUGGGGGAAACCCUGAUGCAGCGACGCCGCGUGAGUGAGGAAGGAUUUCGGGAUGUAAAGCACUAUCAGCAGGGACGAAAAUGACGGUACCUGACUAAGAAGCCCCUGCUAACUACGUGCGAGCAGCCGCGGUAAUACGUAGGGGGCAAGCGUUCUCAGGAUUUUUUGGGUGUAAAGGGCGUGGAGGCGGGAAAGCAAGACAGAUGUGAAAACUCAGGGCUCAACCCUGGGCCUGCAUUUGAAACUGUUCUUCUUGAGUGCUGGAGAGGCGAGCGGAAUUCCGUGUGUAGCGGUGAAAUGCGUAGAUAUACGGAGGAACACCAGUGGCGGAGGCGGAUUGCUGGACCGUAACUGACGCUGAGGCGCGAAAGCGUGGGGAGCAAACAGGAUUAGAUACCCUUGUAGUC